This is a long non-coding RNA of Coregonus clupeaformis (lake whitefish), 392 nucleotides long. RefSeq lists it as uncharacterized. Lineage: Eukaryota; Metazoa; Chordata; Actinopteri; Salmoniformes; Salmonidae. The transcript is spliced from 3 exons. The record is from RefSeq and is a predicted model, not a curated record.
GUGGCUGUAGGGUUCUAUAAUUCAACAAAUGUCAAAACACCAACUGCCAUUUAUCCAGCAUUACGACUCAAUAACGCUAUUGUUUGAGUAUUUCAGGUUGGAGUUGGAUGGGGGACCUGCCAUGUUGCCGCUGAACCCAACUACCAGGCAGAGAGGAUCCCUCUUUCGCCUGCUGUUGAUGGCAACAACUGCAUGAAGCAGCUAGGCAAUAACCCAACUUGUACUGUUCCAUAAAGAAGGCAUAACCCCUCUGAAGGCAUCCAGAGUUACCAAAAUUGACAUUGGGUCAUCAUUCAAACAAAGAGGCAUAUUUCCAAACAAUGUUUGCAUUACCUAAACUGUUUGUGUUUGAGAGUAACUAUAAUGACAAUAACAUCAAAAGUAUUUUGGUA